UUCGAUUAUGGCUCAGAUUGAACGCUGGCGGAUGCGCACACACAUGCAAGUCGAACGGCUUACAGACUUCGGUCUGGUGGCGAGUGGCGAACGGGUGAGUAAUGUAUCGGAACGUGCCCUGUGGCGGGGAUAACUACGCAGCGUAGCUAAUACCACAUACGCCCUUCGGGGGAAAGCGGGGGACCUUCGGGCCUCGCACUAUUAAACGGCCGAUAUCGGAUUAGCUAGUUGGUGGGGUAACGGCUCACCAAGGCGACGAUCCGUAGCUGGUUCGAGGACGACCCAGCCACACUGGGACUGGGGCUGACCCAGACUCUACCAGGAGGCAGCGAGUGGGAAUUUUUGGACAAUGGGGGAAACCUGAUCCAGCCAUCCCGCGUGUGCGAUGAAGGCCUUCGGGUUUAUGCUUUUGGCAGGAAAGAAACGGCACGGGAUAAUACCCCGUGCAACUGACGGUACCUGCAGAAUAAAGCACCGGCUAACUACGUGCCAGCAGCCGCGGUAUGCACCCGUAGGGUGCAAGCGUUAAUCAGAUUACUGGGCGUAAAGCGUGCGCAGGCGGUUCGGAAAGAAGAUGUGAAAUCCCAGAGCAACUUUGGAACUGUUUUUAACUACCGAGCUAGAGUGUGUCAGAGGGAGGUGGAAUUCCACGUGUAGCAGUGAAAUGCGUAGAUAUGCGGAGGAGAACACCGAUGGCGAAGGCAACCUCCUGGGAUAACACUGACGCUCAUGCACGAAAGCGUGGGGAGCAAACAGGAUUAGAUACCCUGGUAGUCCACGCCCUAAACGAUGUCAACUAGCUGUUGGGGCCUUCGGGCCUUGGUAGCGCAACUAACGCGUGAAGUUGACCGCCUGGGGAAGUACGGUCGCAAGAUUAAAACUCAAAGGAAUUGACGGGGACCCGCACAAGCGGUGGAUGAUGUGGAUUAAUUCGAUGCAACGCGAAAAACCUUACCUACAUGACAUGUCUGGAAUCCCGAAGAGAUUUGGGAGUGCUCGCAAGAGAACCGGAACACGAGUGCUGCAUGGCUGUCGUCAGCUCGUGUCGUGAGAUGUUGGGUUAAGUCCACAACGAGCACAAUACACUGUCAUUAGUUGCUACGAAAAGGUCUAAUGAGACUGCCGGUGACAAACCGGAGGAAGGUGGGGAUGACGUCAAGUCCUCAUGGCCCUUAUGGGUAGGGCUUCGUCAUACAAUGGUCGGGACAGAGGGUCGCCAACCCGCGAGGGAGCCAAUCCCAGAAACCCGAUCGUAGUCCGGAUCGCAGUCUGCAACUCGACUGCGUGAAGUCGGAAUCGCUGGUAAUCGCAGGAUCAGCAUGUCGCGGUGAGCGUUCCCGGGUCUUGUACACACCGCCCCGUCACACCAUGGGAGUGGGUUUUACCAGAAGUAGUAGCCUAACCGUAAGGAGGGCGAUUACCACGGUAGGAUUCAUGACUGGGGUGAAGUCGUAACAAGGUAG
RNAcentral lists this ribosomal RNA (1463 nucleotides) under uncultured Bordetella sp. RNAcentral describes it as "partial 16S-23S ribosomal RNA intergenic spacer". It matches the Rfam family "Bacterial small subunit ribosomal RNA". Lineage: Bacteria; Pseudomonadati; Pseudomonadota; Betaproteobacteria; Burkholderiales; Alcaligenaceae. The record is from RNAcentral.